UGAGGAAUAUUGGUCAAUGGUCGGGAGACUGAACCAGCCAAGCCGCGUGAGGGAUGAAGGUGCUAAGCAUUGUAAACCUCUUUUGUCAGGGAACAAAGGCAUCCACGAGUGGGUGUGUGAGUGUACCUGAAGAAAAAGCAUCGGCUAACUCCGUGCCAGCAGCCGCGGUAAUACGGAGGAUGCGAGCGUUAUCCGGAUUUAUUGGGUUUAAAGGGUGCGUAGGCGGCCUGUUAAGUCAGCGGUAAAAGCCCGGGGCUCAACCCGGCGAGCGUUGAACUCGCUGGCUGGAGUUGGCGAGAGGUAUGCGGAAUGCGCGGUGUAGCGGUGAAAUGCUUAGAUAUCGCGCAGAACUCCGAUUGCGAAGGCAGCAUGCCGGCGCCACACUGACGCUGAGGCACGAAAGCGUGGGGAUGCAAAGCAGGAUUAGAUACC
RNAcentral lists this ribosomal RNA (432 nucleotides) under uncultured bacterium. Its description in RNAcentral is "bacterial SSU rRNA". It matches the Rfam family "Bacterial small subunit ribosomal RNA", at positions 355 to 786 of the family's 1533-position model. The record is from RNAcentral.